This 72-nucleotide transfer RNA is filed under the name Strigamia maritima. It matches the Rfam family "tRNA". From Rfam's summary of the family: Transfer RNA (tRNA) molecules are approximately 80 nucleotides in length. The record is from Rfam by way of RNAcentral. Lineage: Eukaryota; Metazoa; Arthropoda; Chilopoda; Geophilomorpha; Linotaeniidae.
AGCAGAGUGGGGCAGUGGAAGCGUGCUGGGCCCAUAACCCAGAGGCCGAUGGAUCGAAACCAUCCUCUGCUA